GCCUCGGUGGUGUAGUGGUCAAGACGCUCGCCUGGUAAACAGGAGGGCGUAGGUUCGAUCCCUGCCGAGGUA
This 72-nucleotide transfer RNA is filed under the name Diaphorina citri (Asian citrus psyllid). It matches the Rfam family "tRNA". From Rfam's summary of the family: Transfer RNA (tRNA) molecules are approximately 80 nucleotides in length. Their secondary structure includes four short double-helical elements and three loops (D, anti-codon, and T loops). Further hydrogen bonds mediate the characteristic L-shaped molecular structure. tRNAs have two regions of fundamental functional importance: the anti-codon, which is responsible for specific mRNA codon recognition, and the 3' end, to which the tRNAs corresponding amino acid is attached (by aminoacyl-tRNA synthetases). tRNAs cope with the degeneracy of the genetic code in two manners: having more than one tRNA (with a specific anti-codon) for a particular amino acid; and 'wobble' base-pairing, i.e. permitting non-standard base-pairing at the 3rd anti-codon position. Lineage: Eukaryota; Metazoa; Arthropoda; Insecta; Hemiptera; Psyllidae. The record is from Rfam by way of RNAcentral.